GACGAACGCUGGCGGCGUGCUUAACACAUGCAAGUCGAGCGGUAAGGCCCUUUCGGGGGUACACGAGCGGCGAACGGGUGAGUAACACGUGGGUGGCCUGCCCUCAGCUCUGGGAUAAGCCUGGGAAACCGGGUCUAAUACUGGAUAUGACUCCAUGACGCAUGUUGUGGGGUGGAAAGCCUUGUGCGGCUGAGGAUGGGCCCGCGGCCUAUCAGCUUGUUGGUGGGGNGAUGGCCUACCAAGGCGACGACGGGUAGCCGGCCUGAGAGGGCGACCGGCCACACUGGGACUGAGACACGGCCCAGACUCCUACGGGAGGCAGCAGUGGGGAAUCUUGCGCAAUGGGCGAAAGCCUGACGCAGCGACGCCGCGUGAGGGAUGACGGCCU
Molecule: ribosomal RNA, 388 nt
Filed under: uncultured bacterium
Lineage: Bacteria
Description: bacterial SSU rRNA
Rfam family: Bacterial small subunit ribosomal RNA
Source: RNAcentral